Camelus dromedarius (Arabian camel) is the source of this 400-nucleotide long non-coding RNA. RefSeq lists it as uncharacterized. The transcript has 4 exons. Lineage: Eukaryota; Metazoa; Chordata; Mammalia; Artiodactyla; Camelidae. The record is from RefSeq and is a predicted model, not a curated record.
CAUGAAAUGACUUACGUGCCCAUUCCUGGAGAGAGGGGACUCUGUGACAAAUUCUUUCACGUUAUGACGUUUAUGAAUGAGAUCAGAUCGUUGGGGAGUCAGACUAAUGAGGAGAAUCACACCUGAAUUUUAGCUGGAUUCAUGGUUGCAUGGAGAAACUUCUGCCCAUUGAGAUGCUCUGAAGAUUGAGGAAGAUGACACAAGAUAAACAGGGCAGACGUCCUUCAGAAGCUGGGAAAGGCAACAAAAUGGAUUCUCCUCCAGAGUCUCCAGAAAUAACUACGACCCACCAACACCUGAUUUUGACCCUCAGGACCCACUGUGGACUUCUGACCUACAGAAUCACAAAUCCUCACUGAAUGAGCUCACAAGUCAGAAUUAUGAACUACAUAAGGAAACA